This 497-nucleotide ribosomal RNA is filed under the name uncultured bacterium. RNAcentral's name for it is "partial 16S ribosomal RNA". It matches the Rfam family "Bacterial small subunit ribosomal RNA", at positions 28 to 507 of the family's 1533-position model. The record is from RNAcentral.
GAUGAACGCUGGCGGCGUGCCUAAUACAUACAAGUCGAGCGAACGGACGAGAAGCUUGCUUUUCUGAUGUUAGCGGCGGACGGGUGAGUAACACGUGGAUAACCUACCUAUAAGACUGGGAUAACUUCGGGAAACCGGAGCUAAUACCGGAUAAUAUUUUGAACCGCAUGGUUCAAAAGUGAAAGACGGUCUUGCUGUCACUUAUAGAUGGAUCCGCGCUGCAUUAGCUAGUUGGUAAGGUAACGGCUUACCAAGGCAACGAUGCAUAGCCGACCUGUGAGGGUGAUCGGCCACACUGGAACUGAGACACGGUCCAGACUCCUACGGGAGGCAGCAGUAGGGAAUCUUCCGCAAUGGGCGAAAGCCUGACGGAGCAACGCCGCGUGAGUGAUGAAGGUCUUCGGAUCGUAAAACUCUGUUAUUAGGGAAGAACAUAUGUGUAAGUAACUGUGCACAUCUUGACGGUACCUAAUCAGAAAGCCACGGCUAACUACGUG